This 231-nucleotide long non-coding RNA is filed under the name Panax ginseng (ginseng). RNAcentral describes it as "long non-coding RNA (PGIN_LNC003033)". The record is from RNAcentral. Lineage: Eukaryota; Viridiplantae; Streptophyta; Magnoliopsida; Apiales; Araliaceae.
UUUGUAACUGUAUAGAGAUGAUGUAUUAGAUGAUGAUAUACUCAGGAAUGUAUGCAUAGUUUUUCAUUCCCUAUAUCAUAUUGCCAUCCAUUAUCUGUUAUGCAUGUAUCAUGUUAUGCAUAUGUAUGUAUGUCCAGAGAUAUUCAGCAUUGACCCCUGGAUGGUAUUAUGACACGGCCCGUACAGAUGUCUUCUUCGACAGUUAGCCGUAUUGAUCAUACCCCACCAUCA